GCGUUAUUUGUGACCUGGAAUACUGCUCAUUGCACAAAACCUUAAAUUGCAUGUGGACAUGAAGAUAAAUGAAGUGGCUUGUCCAAGAUCAAACACUGGAGAUGGCUGCAGAGCAGGAAAUUGAUUCUAGACCUGGCCUCAAUCCUGUCAUCAGAUCUGAGUUGGGCAGAAUCCUGCACCUGCAUGGAGUCCUGGGGUCAGAGAUUCAAUGGAUCUAACUGCAGCAGCCUUGGGGCCGGACUUAUAUAAAAGCAACCUUUUGUGCCGAGUG
Long non-coding RNA from Malaclemys terrapin pileata, 271 nucleotides. RefSeq lists it as uncharacterized. Lineage: Eukaryota; Metazoa; Chordata; Testudines; Emydidae. The record is from RefSeq and is a predicted model, not a curated record. The transcript is spliced from 3 exons.